This 534-nucleotide ribosomal RNA is filed under the name uncultured bacterium. RNAcentral describes it as "bacterial SSU rRNA". It matches the Rfam family "Bacterial small subunit ribosomal RNA", at positions 50 to 573 of the family's 1533-position model. The record is from RNAcentral.
AACACAUGCAAGUCGAGCGGAGACGAAGAGGUGCUUGCACCUCUGGCGUCAAGCGGCGGACGGGUGAGUAAUGCUUGGGAAUAUGCCUUAUGGUGGGGGACAACAGUUGGAAACGACUGCUAAUACCGCAUAAUGUCUACGGACCAAAGUGGGGGACCUUCGGGCCUCACGCCAUAAGAUUAGCCCAAGUGGGAUUAGCUAGUUGGUGAGGUAAUGGCUCACCAAGGCGACGAUCCCUAGCUGGUUUGAGAGGAUGAUCAGCCACACUGGGACUGAGACACGGCCCAGACUCCUACGGGAGGCAGCAGUGGGGAAUAUUGCACAAUGGGCGCAAGCCUGAUGCAGCCAUGCCGCGUGUGUGAAGAAGGCCUUCGGGUUGUAAAGCACUUUCAGUAAGGAGGAAAGGUUAAGUGUUAAUAGCGCUUAGCUGUGACGUUACUUACAGAAGAAGCACCGGCUAACUCCGUGCCAGCAGCCGCGGUAAUACGGAGGGUGCGAGCGUUAAUCGGAAUUACUGGGCGUAAAGCGUACGCA